GAGUUUGAUCCUGGCUCAGGACGAACGCUGGCGGCGUGCUUAACACAUGCAAGUCGAACGGAGCGAAAUGGAAGCUUGCUUCUAUGGAGCUUAGUGGCGAACGGGUGAGUAACGCGUAAUCAACCUGCCCUUCAGAGGGGGACAACAGUUGGAAACGACUGCUAAUACCGCAUACGAUUCAACUUCGGCAUCGAGGAUGAAUGAAAGGUGGCCUCUAUUUAUAAGCUAUCGCUGAAGGAGGGGAUUGCGUCUGAUUAGCUAGUUGGAGGGGUAACGGCCCACCAAGGCGAUGAUCAGUAGCCGGUCUGAGAGGAUGAACGGCCACAUUGGGACUGAGACACGGCCCAGACUCCUACGGGAGGCAGCAGUGGGGAAUCUUCCGCAAUGGACGAAAGUCUGACGGAGCAACGCCGCGUGAGUGAUGACGGCCUUCGGGUUGUAAAGCUCUGUUAAUCGGGACGAAAGGUCCUCUUGUGAAUAAUUAGAGGAAUUGACGGUACCGGAAUAGAAAGCCACGGCUAACUACGUGCCAGCAGCCGCGGUAAUACGUAGGUGGCAAGCGUUGUCCGGAAUUAUUGGGCGUAAAGCGCGCGCAGGCGGAUUAGUCAGUCUGUCUUAAAAGUUCGGGGCUAAACCCCGUGAUGGGAUGGAAACUGCUAAUCUAGAGUAUCGGAGAGGAAAGUGGAAUUCCUAGUGUAGCGGUGAAAUGCGUAGA
RNAcentral lists this ribosomal RNA (715 nucleotides) under uncultured bacterium. RNAcentral describes it as "bacterial SSU rRNA". It matches the Rfam family "Bacterial small subunit ribosomal RNA", at positions 9 to 694 of the family's 1533-position model. The record is from RNAcentral.